Molecule: ribosomal RNA, 903 nt
Filed under: uncultured archaeon
Lineage: Archaea
Description: bacterial SSU rRNA
Rfam family: Archaeal small subunit ribosomal RNA
Source: RNAcentral
CGGUUGAUCCUGCCGGACCCUAUCGCUAUCGGGGUAAGACUCAGCCCUGCUUGUUGGGCGACUCCCAUCCUACCAUUUGGAGGACGCGACACACGGCUCCGUAACACGUAGUUAAUCUGCCCUUAGGACGGGGAUAACCCCGGGAAACUGGGGCUAAUACCCGACAAACGGAAAAGCCUGGAAUGGUUUUCCGUUUAAAUGAUUUUUGGAGCAUGCUUCCAAAAAUCGCCUAAGGAUGAAACUGCGUCCGAUCAGGUUGUUGGUGGGGUAACGGCCCACCAAACCUAUGACCGGUACGGGCCCCGAGAGGGGGAGCCCGGAGAUGGGAACUGAGACAAGGUCCCAGGCCCUAAGGGGCGCAGCAGGCGCGAAACCUCCACAAUACGCGAAAGCGUGAUGGGGUUACCCCGAGUGCCGUCCGUUGAGGAUGGCUUUUACUCAGUGUAACAAGCUGGAGGAAUAAAGGGGGGGCAAGACUGGUGUCAGCCGCCGCGGUAAUACCAGCCCCCUGAGUGAUAGGGACGAUUAUUGAGCCUAAAGCGUCCGUAGCCGGCUUAGCAAGUCUUCCGUUAAAUCUGACGACUUAAUCGUCAGGGUGCGGAAGAUACUGCUAGGCUUGAGGGCGGGAGAGGUUGACGGUAUUCCAGGGGUAGGGGUGAAAUCCAAUAAUCCCUGGAGGACCACCAGUGGCGAAGGCGGUCAACUAGAACGCGCCUGACGGUGAUGGACGAAAGCUGGGGGAGCGAACCGGAUUAGACACCCGGGUAGUCCCAGCUGUAAACGAUGCGGGCUAGGUGUUGGGGCAGCUACGUGCUGCCCCAGUGCCGCAGAGAAGUCGUUAAGCCCGCCGCUUGGGAAGUACGGCCGCAAGGCUGAAACUUAAAGGAAUUGGCGGGGGAGCAC